CCUGCCUGCUCCCUCCUCUGAGACCUUGCACUGAAUAGGUGGAGUGCAUGGCAAGGCACUACAGAUACCACAAAGUAGAGCAGCCUGUUUCUUCCUCAGACCAUGGCAAAUACUGACAGAAGGACUUUAAGAUCUCACUAGACAGCUCUCUAGAGGGACACCUUCCUUUCCCUGCCCCAAUUCUCCCUCCUCUUUUCCAUUAACCUUUCCUGUACCCAGGAUCCUGGCACCCUGUGUUGCCAGUGGGGCAGCUGACUAGGCUCCUGGAGUCCCUCACACCAUACAAGUGCCUGUGCCAGUGGGAAGUUUCCUGUUUCCCCCUCAGUUUUCUGAGAAGGACAGCUCUAAGGAAGGUUGCAACAGUUCCCUGAAAAACAAAGAUUAUUACCUCUUAUGUUUUCUUUUUUUUUUCAGGCACAUUCAUAUGAGAAAAUAUGAGAAAAGUUCCUAGUAAAGUAUGAAGAUGGACAUUUCACAGAGUCAAACUGGUGCCAAGACAGGCUUUUAAGGAUAAAGAAUACUGUGCAGGAUUUAUUUUAGGGCGGUUUCUGAUUAGCUGCUCAUCACUAUUAUGUCUGGAUCACAGUAUUGGCAGCUUUUACAGUCAGGUGUUUGGAUAGCAUGCUCAUUAUCCAAAGGCUCACACUUCCCAAGCUCAGGUGACAGAUGAAGCAGCCCAUCCAUGCACUUCCAGCUGGAGGAGCAAGGAAGAGGAUUCAGAAGGGCAAAAGGCUGGGAAGAUGCACCUUUGUGUCCCUUGCAGUGGCUAGCAAGAGGUCAAGUCUCACUUUCACCAAAGGUUGGAUGGAGAGAACUCACAACAAUGUUAUUCCUGUAACUGCAGCAGGCAGCAAAAUUAAGAUCUGAGGGAAUUUAAAUAUAUAACCUACAAUUCUGCUUCCCAUGGGUAUUUCAUACGGGUUACAUUGAAACUGAAGAAAGAAGGACAGGAUGAAUGUGACUUUAUGUAAAUCUGUUGAGAAUGUGGCAUGAGUAUUCACAAAAAGGCUUUUUAUGCAUUAGUUAUUCCUCCAUAGUUAAAUAUAUGAUGCUCAUCAGCUAUGGCAGGGAAAUGUGCACCUGCAGAAAGAAAUCUGGUGAGAAUAUGAUAAAGGUCUUGCUUGGCUGAAGCACAAAUUACCAGUAGACUUAGGUGCAGAAGUUAAUCUUGUGAUGAUGAUGAUGAUGAUUCACUUGGGGGAAUUGUGAGGAGUUUGUAAUAUGAGUUAUAUC
This 1233-nucleotide long non-coding RNA is filed under the name Parus major (Great Tit). RNAcentral's name for it is "lncRNA (ENSPMJG00000008180.1)". The record is from RNAcentral. Lineage: Eukaryota; Metazoa; Chordata; Aves; Passeriformes; Paridae.